UGGCUAUGUAGUUCUAGAACUUAGGGAUUGCUUCUAGGGAUCUCAGUCCUAUCUAGCGGGUGAGCUCCCAUCCCUAGGUUUGCUAGGUGCUAAAUCCUACUUCCAAUUGAAAGAUACUGAACUGAUUUCUUAGAUCAUACUAGGCUUGACUGAACUGUUACUGAUCAUACUUGUUUGGCUAAGCUAAACUGGAUUCACUGAGUUCCAUUGACUGACGAAAUAAUACUGAGUUCUGAAUUGAUUACUGAACUGAAGCUGGAAUGCUACUGAUACUGAGAUUACUGAGAUUUCCUAAGUUCUGUAACUAUCUGAGUUCUACUGAGUUUUGUAAUUGACUGAAAGUACUACUAAUAAUGGCAUGACUGAGAUUAUUAUAAAACUGACACUGGCUCUAGACAAGCAACUAAUUUGUUGGGUAUAAAUACCCCCAGGACUCGAUAACAUAAAUAAUACAAGACAGGACAACUCAUACAUAACAUGGCAAUAGGCUAUCAUUCACAACAUAAUCAAUGAGGCAUCUCUUCAAGCACUUGGAAGUCUUAGCAUGUAAAUGUAUAGGGACUGCAUACUAUUAUCUCAUAAUUCAUUCAAUAAGGAAUGCACAUGAGUAGGAAUGCAUGGAACAUAUCAUAAUUCAUUUACUAAGGCCUUUCAACAAGACAUGCUAUAAGGACUCUAUUUCCAUCACAUAAGCAUUUUAUCAAACAUAUGGGGAGCAUACUUUGGUCAUACAACAUUCAACACACUCAAUUAACAUGGUUACAUGUAUCAACAUCCAUCUUGUAGGGUUUAUUAUGAAUAUCAUGAGAUAAACCACAUACUAUAAUCAAUUCUUGAAACUUGUAGUCUAAAUCAUGAAUUAAAACUCAACAACACAUAAUCAUGAACUUCAAUUCACAUAAAUCAUGAAAAUUCAUAAAUACACUAACUUUAUAAUUUUAACAAGGAUUUUUGAACUUCUUGGGUGAAAGGAACCCAAGAAUCAACAUCUAACAUACCUUAGUUCUUGAUUCUACGAAGAUUGACGAUGGAAUAUCUUGAAUUUGGAUCUUCAAUUGUAAACCCUAAGCAUGUUCUUGAGGAAAAUUGAGAGAAAACUAGUAUAUAUGGGUAAACAAUAGCUGAAUCUCGUGAUAUAGGAUUAUAUGAGUGGGAAAAAGACUGAAAUAACCCUGGGGUCGUGGCUGUUUUAAUGACUGAUAACUGGGUACUGACGCGCUGGUCGACGCAGCGCGUCGAUGAUACCCGACGCGUCGCGCCAUGAUCACGUUAAGCCUCAGUACUUUUGAUUGGCAGUCCUGGAAAAAUAUUGGCCAACGCGAUAGGCGACGCAGCGCGCCAAGAUUUCAUUGGUCCACUAUUUUGGGCACUGGAACUUGGUCCAAACGAGGUCCAAAAAAUCCAUAACUCAUCUGGGAACCCCUAUUGACAUUCUUGAGCAUGGAUUAACUUAAAUAUCAAACCUUUAUGGACGUAAAGGUCAUGAAAGAAGAACGCCAAAUUUCAAAGGCUAAAAUAGACUAAGUCUCAACACUUCGCUGAAAUUUUCUAAGUGUUGGAGCUUCUCUUGACAUGCUUUAAAGAGUUUUAAUGACUAGGAAAAUUUGCGGGGUCUUACAAUAUCUCCCCCUUGGGAACAUUCGUCCUCGAAUGGGACUGACUAAGCUGAGAUUUCUGAUAGACUGAACUUACUUAGCGGACGUGAACAUCUGAAACAUGACUAUAUGAUUGAACCACUGAUAUACUGAAAUCUCAUACCAAACAUGCAUAUCUUAUGCAUGGAUAUCUGACUGAGUUGAUUCUCUUGAAAGCAUGACUGAAUAUGUAAUGAUAACUAAUACUAAGUUUGUAAGGGGAAUCUGAGCAUGGAACUGAAUGGAUUUAUGGACAUGAAAGCAUCGGGGAAUUCUAGGGUAUCUCCUCCUUAGGACACUGUGUCCCCUCCUAAGAAUGCUUACUUUAUUGAGAUAGGCGAUGAACAAGGCACCCACGAGUUGGCUCAUAACUAAGUCUGAAAAUAAUGCAUGACUCAUGAACUGAACUGAAAUCGCAACUACUAGGACUUUCUAUCUUGGAAUAGUUACCUUCUUGAGAUUUUUGAUGGCAUGACUAGACGGAAAGAUAGGAAACAAACUAUAAGAAUCUGACUGCCUGACUGCUAAAUUGACUUGCUGGCUUUACUAACUAACUCAUGCUAAAAACUUAAGCUCAAAUGGGAGCAAAGGAUCUAAGAAUGCAUAUCAUGAAAAUAAAGGACUUAUAACGUACCCAAAUCUAUAUUAGGGGAACCUUCUAGAUUAUGAUGAGUCUGGAGUGCAUAAAAUUUGUUCUGACAUUGACCACUAGUGGUACUUGUAGUGACGCCCUGCUGACGCAUAUCUUUACCCCUCUGAGCCAAUUCUCUACACUCCCGCAGCCUCUAGCCUGGCUUACCACAUCUAAAACAUACCUCGCUGUUUGCUCUACACAUACCUAGGUAAUUCUUGCCAUACUAUUCACAAAGCGGAUAGGUACGCUCACUUCUCACAUUACCCUGGGCUUUGGAGCCUGGCGCCUCAUCAUGACUAACAUUCCUAAAUUUUGGUGUGGGUACACUAGCUGAGGAUAGAGCUAGGACUGAAAACUUCCAACUAUGCUGAGAAUAAUCACCACCCUGUGACUCUGGCUCUGGCUGAGAAUAACUAAAACUACCUGUUCUGUCCUUCUUACUCUCUCUCUUUCCUUAGCUUUCUCUGCCUCAAUCUGCUGAGCGUGCAUCAUCAAUCUAGAAAGAUCUAUGUCUCUAUUAAGCAUAGCAGUCUUACACUCCUUAACCACUACCCUAGACACACUAGUCACAAACUUACUCAUGCUUGCUCUAGGGUCAUCCAUCUGAUCAGGGACAUACUUAGCCAAUUGGUUGAACUUGAGACAAUACUCCUUCACUGUCAUGGAGUCUUGCCUCAGGUUCAUGAAUUCUUCUAUCUUAGCUUCUCUCAUCUCUAGUGGGAAAAACUUAUCUAAGAAUGCAUCCUGAAAUAUCUGCCAAGUCAUCGGAGCUGCAUCCUCCCCUCUACUCUUCCUCCACAUCACUACCCAAUCAUCAGUAACAUCCUUCAGCCUAUAGGAUGCCAAUUCUAUAUUUUCCUCUUCAGAAACAUGCAUGACCCUGGGUGAUCUUCUUCACCUUAUCGAGAUAAAGCUGUGGGUCCUUAUCUGCCUUAGACCCAAAGAAUUCUGGCGGGUUCAUUCUUAUAAAGUCUCUGAUUCUGGUUGAGACUAGACCCCCAUCUUGCUCAAGUGGGGCUGCAACUUGACGGUUACCUUGAACAUUAGUUGUCACAGCUUGGGCUAGCAUCUGAAAAGCUGCCCGAAACGCUGUAUGGGACAUUCUCAUUCAAAGGAUUUGCGGGCUGAGGUGGCUGGUUAUCAUUCCUAUGGGCAUUAGCUUUACGAGGAGGCAUACUCUGUAAAUGAAAAAAAGAGGUGGAUUAAGCUAAGAAUUAGCUCGAGCUCAUACUCACUCAGACGACAAGAACAUUGAAAGAAGGGAAACUAUUCCUAAAACAUCUUAUAGCCUCCUGUACAUAAAUGUGGUGCGCAAUACACCCAUGUAUAAGACUCUACUAGAUACGGCUUUCAGACUCCCUAGGACACUAUUGAAGCUUAGGCUCUGGUACCAAGUUUGUAACACCCCGAGUCUAUUACCCGGGAUGCUACACGGUGCUUAUAAUCCCGAAGGACCACAAGCUAACCCUUAAUUGAUACCUGUAAUUGAGCACUGCAUAAUAUACUAAAAAAUAUGGAAAACUAGCGGAAACUUGCCAUAAGGUUCAAUACUAAAAUAAAACUGAAUAAAGUUUAACAAUAUUAAAAACUAAAACAACUGUCUGAACUACUAGUCUGAAAGCCUCUAAACUUUCUGAACUAUGGAGUCGAUGUGACAAUCCCCCAACCAACUCCAUCUACUGAAGAAAUACUGAAUUUAAUACAAUAUAAUGAAAUAAUAGAACCAUCCUCGAACGAUGAGGACUCACUACUAAGUCUACUGCUGCUGACUGAGUCUGAACUGCUAAGGGUGCUCAAGAUCCCGUGCUUCUGAACCUAUGGUAUAAGACACCAUAGCAUAAGAGAAAAGUGUGCAUCAGUACAUGAGAAUGUACUAGUGUGCUAGAUGGGGUAAGGCUAAAUGCAAGGGCUAAUAUGCAUGAACUAUACUAACUAAAUAAUCUGAGUAUGAUGAAUGAGGAUACAUGCAUGAAUGCAUAAACUAUAACUGAGAUCGUAGUGACACUAAAUAUCGAGUCCUGAAUGCUGAUUUACUGACAUCUGAGUUUACUAAUGCUGGUAUACUGAAUAACUGAAUCUACUGAUAUUGAUAUCUGAGGUUAAUAAAACUUAAUAACUAUAUCUGAGAUUAGUCCUAUCUAAUGGGUGAUCUCUGAAUCUAUUGGUACUUAAUACUAAUUGACGGUAUUUGGGAUCAGUCCUAUUUAGUGGGUGAUCUCUGAGUCCACUGAUAAUGCUAAUGAGUGACUGUAUCUAACAGUCCUGAAUCUGAGCUAUUAAGCUGAGUUUUUUUACUGAGACUAAUUCUAAAACUAAGACUAUGGGAGGUAGUCAUCUAACUGACAUGCCCCGAAUUUGAACUAGUGGGGUCCAACCUGUAACCCCAGUUGGAAGUGUGUCAGUACUGUGCCACGGGUAAAGACAACUGCUAUGGGGUCAGUCUUAAUGUAGCGGGUGACCCUUGAGAUCAGUCCUGUGCUAGUGGGUGAUCCCGGAGUAUGUCAGUCCUAUCUAACGGGUGACAUCUCAUGCCUACGCUGGCUACGUAGUUCUGUAACUUAGGGAUUGAUUCUAAGGAUCUCAGUCCUAUCUAGCGGAUGAGCCCCCAUCCCUAGGUUCGUUCGGUGCUGAAUCCUACUCUCAACUGAAAGACACUAAAAUGAUUUCUUAGAUCAUACUAGGCUUGACUAAACUGUUACUGAUCGUACUUGUUUGACUAAGCUAAACUGGAUUUACUGAGUUUCGUUGACUGAAAAAAUAUUACUGAGUUCUGAAUUGAUUACUGAACUGAAGCUGGAAUGCCACUGAUAUUGAGAUUACUGAGAUUUCCUAAGUUCUAUAACUAUCUAAGUUCUACUAAGUUUUGUAACUGACUGAGAGUACUACUAAUCAUGGAAUGACUGAGAUUAUCUUGAAAAUGACACUGGCUCUAGACAAACAACUAAUUUAUCGGGUAUAAAUACCCCUAGGACACGAUAACAUAAAUAAUACAAGACAGGACAACUCAUACAUAACAUGACAAUAGGCUAUCAUUCAUAACACAAUCAAUGAGGCAUCUCUUCAAGCACUUGGAAGUCUUAACAUGUAAAUGUAUAGAGAGUUCAUACUAUUAUCUCAUAAUUCAUUCAAUAAGGAAUGCACAUGAGUAGGAAUGCAUGCAACAUAUUAUAAUUCAUUCACUAAG
Molecule: long non-coding RNA, 5452 nt
Filed under: Capsicum annuum
Lineage: Eukaryota; Viridiplantae; Streptophyta; Magnoliopsida; Solanales; Solanaceae
Description: long non-coding RNA (CANN_LNC009724)
Source: RNAcentral